AGGUCACACUCCUUCAGCUUCCCCGUUUCUGAAUCCCAGGUCUAUCCACGGCCUUCUCAACAGAUGACUUCAAGUUGAUUUCGUGCUUUAUUUCUUAAGAAUAGUGACUAACCUAAGGGAUCUGAUUCAAUUUAUUAGGAACACAGUGCCACCUUCCAAAAUUACUUACCUAAGAGGACUGAGCCUGCUGUCCCUGGAGCAGUUAGCUAAAACAGUGCCUCAGUACGGAGCGUACCUGUGUUAACUUCUAGAGUGCUGUUUCCGGCAGCUGCUGAAAUCCACGCUGAGGUUAUCAAGCUCAUCCUACAAAAUAAAGCAAGUUCUUCGCAAUUUAAAGCAAAAAUCUGGGCUUAUUUUUAGGGUUUUGGGGGAUGUGAAAGUUGUCUUAGAUAAGAUUCCAGGAAAGCUAAGAACUAACGAUGCAAUUACAGUCACCUUUCAACAACUUUGGGGAUUGGGUUGAGGAAGGUGUGAAAUUGGGAAAUAUAAUAAAAGGUAUUAUAUUAGUGACUUUCUAGAGUAGCCCUUGGCAGUCCUGUCUUUAAAGAGUAAUAACUGGAAAAAAAAAUGAAUGAUAAUACACUGCAUCCAAGAACCUUGCCUCUGGUGAGGGUAAUUUGCAAACGCAUUUUGGGAUAAUGUUCAGCAUUCAAUAUAAUCUUCCCUGGAAUUAGCAAUGCCUUUUGGGUCAGAG
This 694-nucleotide long non-coding RNA is filed under the name Homo sapiens (human). RNAcentral describes it as "non-protein coding lnc-CALN1-1:7". Lineage: Eukaryota; Metazoa; Chordata; Mammalia; Primates; Hominidae. The record is from RNAcentral.